CUUUGCACUUUGGCUUCACGCACGGCAGCGGAUAUUUUUAGGGGUUUGCCACACUUUUGUUUUGAACGAUAAAAUCAACGGUAUGUGAUUGUUUUGAUUCAGUUGAAACGGGUUUCUAGCGGCAUUCGGUCGCAUGCAGUAGCAGUUCGCUAAUUGUGGCUAAGUGACUAAAUGGCUAAUGCAUAAAUUGCCAUACCAAAUACUCUGUGCGACGUUGUGAUUAGUGUCUACACACAACCAAACAGCAUAAUUAAGUUUGGCAAAAUGAAGCAGACUGUGCGCGAAAAUCGCUAGAAUAACAUAUAUGUGUGUGUGUGUGUAAGAUUGCUUACAGCUGCUCGAAAUAGUUUAAAAUAUUACAGCAAAAGCAUUAAAACAAGAAAAAUAACUGUGCUUGAAUUAAUAUUAAGUGAGCCCUUGAGUACCAAAAUUUGUAUAUCUUAAAGAAUUGUGGGAAAAAACUUCUGAUUUUUAGUGGCUAAAAAUUGUCUCUUCACAUGUUUAACGGAUUUAAAUAUUAAGGAAGCCUUUACUUGUGGAUUACGGCAAUUCUCUAGUGGCAUUCUCAGCAAUUCACUACCGAAGAAUUUCUUUGUUUUGCGACAGAAAUUUAUAAUGCCAAGGGUAUACUAAUUUCAGGUAAGGCAUAUGCUAUGAGUACUG
Long non-coding RNA from Bactrocera dorsalis (oriental fruit fly), 663 nucleotides. RefSeq lists it as uncharacterized. Lineage: Eukaryota; Metazoa; Arthropoda; Insecta; Diptera; Tephritidae. The record is from RefSeq and is a predicted model, not a curated record. The transcript is spliced from 3 exons.